RNAcentral lists this ribosomal RNA (415 nucleotides) under uncultured soil bacterium. Its description in RNAcentral is "bacterial SSU rRNA". It matches the Rfam family "Bacterial small subunit ribosomal RNA", at positions 26 to 455 of the family's 1533-position model. The record is from RNAcentral.
AGAUUGAACGCUGGCGGCAUGCCUUACACAUGCAAGUCGAACGGCAGCACGGGAGCAAUCCUGGUGGCGAGUGGCGAACGGGUGAGUAAUAUAUCGGAACGUGCCCAGUCGUGGGGGAUAACGUAGAGAAAUUUACGCUAAUACCGCAUACGAUCCAAGGAUGAAAGCGGGGGACCUAAGGCCUGCGCGACUGGAGCGGCUGAUAUCAGAUUAGCUUGUGUGAGGUAAAAGCUCACCAAGGCGACGAUCUGCAGCUGGUUUGAGAGAACCACCAGCCACACUGGGACUGAGACACGGCCAGACUCCGUAGGGAGCAGCAGGUGGGUAAUUUGGACAAGUGGGACGAAAGCCUGGAUCCGAGCAAUCGCGCGUGCAGGAGAGCUGGUUGUAAUGUCUUUGACGAGACGAAAGGUCU